This is a non-coding RNA of Macaca mulatta (Rhesus monkey), 101 nucleotides long. RefSeq annotates it as microRNA mir-518c. NCBI's taxonomy places the organism in Eukaryota, Metazoa, Chordata, Mammalia, Primates, Cercopithecidae. The record is from RefSeq and is marked provisional.
GCGAGAAGAUUUCAUGCUGUGACUCUCUGGAGGGAAGCGCUUUCUGUUGUCUGAAAGAAAACAAAGCGCUUCUCUUUAGAGAGUUACGGUUUGAGAAAAGC